AGUGAACGCUGGCGGUAGGCCUAACACAUGCAAGUCGAACGGCAGCACAGUAAGAGCUUGCUCUUACGGGUGGCGAGUGGCGGACGGGUGAGGAAUACAUCGGAAUCUACUUUUUCGUGGGGGAUAACGUGGGGAAACUUACGCUAAUACCGCAUACGACCUACGGGUGAAAGCAGGGGAUCUUCGGACCUUGCGCGAUUGAAUGAGCCGAUGUCGGAUUAGCUAGUUGGCGGGGUAAAGGCCCACCAAGGCGACGAUCCGUAGCUGGUCUGAGAGGAUGAUCAGCCACACUGGAACUGAGACACGGUCCAGACUCCUACGGGAGGCAGCAGUGGGGAAUAUUGGACAAUGGGCGCAAGCCUGAUCCAGCCAUACCGCGUGGGUGAAGAAGGCCUUCGGGUUGUAAAGCCCUUUUGUUGGGAAAGAAAAGCAGUAGGUUAAUACCCCGCUGUUCUGACGGUACCCAAAGAAUAAGCACCGGCUAACUUCGUG
Molecule: ribosomal RNA, 492 nt
Filed under: uncultured bacterium
Lineage: Bacteria
Description: partial 16S ribosomal RNA
Rfam family: Bacterial small subunit ribosomal RNA
Source: RNAcentral